This is a long non-coding RNA of Cyprinus carpio (common carp), 743 nucleotides long. The record is from Ensembl. Lineage: Eukaryota; Metazoa; Chordata; Actinopteri; Cypriniformes; Cyprinidae.
AGUUAUCCAGACCAUUACCAAUGCUUUUGGAUAGAAGUUUUCCAGGAGACGUUUUUCCAGGAGGUCUUACUUCUAAAAGGAAGCACACAGUGUGUUGUGUACUCACUUUAAUAUGUAAAGCAGUCUCACAUGGCCGAAUAAGCAUAUGGAACUCUUGCCAAGAGUGCAGAAAACAGUGACUCACCUUUAAUUUUUUCAUAAUAACAGUUGAUCAAGACACUUUAUUAUGCAAAUAAGUAACCCACUAACCCUGAAAUUUCUGUCUGACUUGUCAGAUUUCUCCUAAUAGAGAUGGUAUGUGGAGAAGACAGACUGGGUCAGGGUGUGGCUUCAUAUUGGGACAUGUUUGUGUGUUGCCUGCUGUGAAGAUACGGUGGCUCAAAGGGGAAAUGGCUUCACUCGGCAGUCAGGGGCCUCCGAACAAGAUGUUAUCUUACAGUGUGAGAAUGAGAGAAGGCAGGAAGAGAUGUGAUGCUGUGGACUUUCCUCAUCAUAGGCCACCAACCUACAAUACUCACCACAAGCCUUCAUUGUGGGAUUCUAAUGGGUACAGAGCCAAAACAUUAGCAGAGCUGAACACAGAGGAGCUUUGCCAGUGGUUUAGUAAUAUUGGUCUACAGAAAUGCCUGCCCUUCAUUAGAGAUGAGUUCUCCCCUAAGCAGCAGAUUGGAGAUUUGCCUGGCUCAGAGACGAGCCUAAUGGAGCUUCACUUAUGUAGGAAGAUAUUCAGAGAAAAGAUCUGA